UACGAGGGGGGCAAGCGUUGUUCGGAAUUAUUGGGCGUAAAGGGUGCGUAGGCGGCCUGACAAGCCUGAUGUGAAAUCUAUGGGCUCAACCCAUAGUCUGCAUCGGAAACUGUCGGGCUGGAGUAUGGGAGAGGUGAGUGGAAUUCCUGGUGUAGCGGUGAAAUGCGUAGAUAUCAGGAGGAACACCUGUGGCGAAAGCGGCUCACUGGACCAUAACUGACGCUGAUGCACGAAAGCUAGGGGAGCAAACAGG
RNAcentral lists this ribosomal RNA (253 nucleotides) under uncultured bacterium. Its description in RNAcentral is "partial 16S ribosomal RNA". It matches the Rfam family "Bacterial small subunit ribosomal RNA", at positions 524 to 776 of the family's 1533-position model. The record is from RNAcentral.